GUACACACCGCCCGUCACACCAUGGGAGUGGGUUGUACCAGAAGUAGGUAGAAUAACCGYAAGGGGUUCGCUUACCACGGUAUGAUUCAUGACUGGGGUGAAGUCGUAACAAGGUUUCCGUAGGUGAACCUGCAGAAGGAUCA
This 143-nucleotide ribosomal RNA is filed under the name uncultured eukaryote. RNAcentral describes it as "partial small subunit ribosomal RNA". The record is from RNAcentral.